Tupaia belangeri chinensis (Chinese tree shrew) is the source of this 879-nucleotide long non-coding RNA. RefSeq lists it as uncharacterized. The transcript is spliced from 3 exons. Lineage: Eukaryota; Metazoa; Chordata; Mammalia; Scandentia; Tupaiidae. The record is from RefSeq and is a predicted model, not a curated record.
CUCUCUGAGGGAGGGUAGAGUUCAAAUUCCACAUUUGUGUUCCUCCAGAGGCCCAGCAUGCCAAUGCACUCAAACACAGAUGAGAUUUCCAGAGCUUUCUUAAGAACUGAGUGUUGUUGUUUUGUUUUUUUCCUUUGAACUGGUAUGCCAAGCUCACUGCAGUUUGAGCUGCGAGAAAGGAAAUGCCUGUUUUCCUUACGAAAGUCAUACAUAAUUCUUGACUUCACACCUCUCAGAAGAAACUGCUGAAAAUGUCCCAGAGAGCCCUCCCCACUCCCUCAACUCAUCCCUCCAUUCACCCAGCAUUUGAGGGUCAGAAAUUAAGCAAAGGCAGCUAUGGGCAGCACGGAUCAGGGCCAGUGCCCAGCAGCCUCUGGUCCAGUCAGAGAGGAAACAGGCCACAACUAUUGUCUAUUGUUCUCCAGCAAGUCACCCCAAUUGUCAGAGAAGAGGCCACAUGCUUCGACAAGCAAGGAGAACAUGCCGGGUCGUCAAACUUCCUGUGAAAAGUCCCUCUUUGUUUAGAAAUGAUGCCAGCCUGUUUCUAUGUUUCUAUUAGAGAACAAACAGAAAAGUUGCCCGGAAGACUCCAGAAUGAGAUAAAAACAAGAGUCUCAGAGAAAUUAAACAAAUUCCCCAAGGUCACAUCCUAAUUGAAUCCUAAAGGAGCCAGGAUGCAAGCCCAGACACCCCGAUCGUCUAACCACUAAAUCACACCCCAUCUUGUGCAAUGAAAAUUGCAGAAGGAGGGCAAUCGUGGUGGGUCCACAGACAUGAGGACCAUCUGCUGAAACCAAGGCACAGCGCUGAGAGGAGGCAGAGAAGCUACAUCGAGGCCUCCCCAACAGUGAACGCACUUCUCUACACAGAAAACAUUAC